Molecule: RNA transcript, 429 nt
Organism: Vigna radiata var. radiata (mung bean)
Lineage: Eukaryota; Viridiplantae; Streptophyta; Magnoliopsida; Fabales; Fabaceae
Gene name: plasma membrane ATPase 2-like
Exons: 3
Source: RefSeq, a predicted model, not a curated record
AAAUUUGCAGAGCGUGGUUUAUGUACCCUUGCAGUAGCAUUCCAGACGUUCUAGAUGGAAACAAAGAGAGUAUAGGUGGCCCAUGGCAGUUUAUUGGCCUUUGGCCUCUGUUUGACCCACCCUAGGCAUGACAGUGCAGAAACAAUACGCAGGGCACUUAACCUUGGAGUCAAUGUUAAAAUGAUUACAGAGCACAAGUACGAGAUUGUGAAACGUUUGCAAGCUAGGAAACAUAUUUGUGGAAUGACUGGUGAUGGAGUGAAUGACGCACCUGCACUCAAGAAGGCCGGCAUUGGUAUAGUUGUUGCUGACGCAACUGAUGCAGCUCGGAGUGCAUCUGAUAUUGUUUUAACAGAACCUGGCCUUAGUGUUAUUUUCAUUAUUGUAUUAGUGAAUGUUGCUCCUGAAAAGAGAAUAAAAUAUUAGUUC